Long non-coding RNA from Bubalus bubalis (water buffalo), 3289 nucleotides. RefSeq lists it as uncharacterized. The record is from RefSeq and is a predicted model, not a curated record. The transcript has 6 exons. Lineage: Eukaryota; Metazoa; Chordata; Mammalia; Artiodactyla; Bovidae.
CCAAGCAUUUGCUUUUCUAGGUUUUUUUUUUUAAUUUUUGGUGGACUAAUGUCCCAGAAAUAUUUAAUCAGCCACAAGGAUGCUUAAAGUGUAGCAGGAAAAAUGAAAACAACAAAAUCACAUGAGUUAAAAGCAGAAGUAAAGAAAAAGGUGAGAAACUAAUGCAGCCAGAAUGAGACCAGAAAAAUCAUAUUAUGCAAAGUCCUAUCCUAGGCCUCAUCUUGAGCACGUGUGAUAAUCUAAUGAGAGAAGAGCCGACACAGCAGGCCAGUGAUCCUAAGAAAUUAACCUCCCUUCGUCCCUCCCAUUCUCUCCCCUUCCCUCCCUCUGCAGGUAUUUACUAUGCCAGGUCCUGGGAUACCGGGUGAGCCAGGCCUGGUAACUGCCCUCGUGAAGCUCGUGGUCUAAUAUGGCAACUCAGCCAAAAGCCGAUAGUUUUCUCUGCUGUCUCACUGUAACUCCUUGCCAGGCACGUACCUUCAAUUUAUGGAAGGAUAACACAGACCUUUUCCAGGUCCUUUAGGUAACCCAGAGUGACAACUUUGCACAGAGAAAUAGCCCAUUAGCAACACGGCUGAGUGAAAAGCACAUGGCAUCAGAGGGUCAGAGAAGUGACCAAAAGUCCUCAGCUGGAGUCCCAGCCUGGCCUGUCUGCAUUCGUGUGUCUUGGGGUGGAAAACAGGGUGAUAUAACCAUCUACCUCUCAUCGUUGUCAGAAGUGUGGAACCAGCAAGUGCAUGUACAUGAUCGUUUGCAUUGUAAGAGCUCGGAAACAAGGUAGCAACUGAUGGAAAUGAACAAAUAUUUGCUGCACAUGGGAUCUUCAGCCUUCAUUGCAGCAUACAGGAGCAGCAUGUGGGAGCUGGUUCCCUGACCGCGGAUUGAACCCAGGCCCCCUGCAUUGGGAAUGUGGAGUCGAAGCCCCUGAAUCACCAGAGAAGUCAGUAGAAGAGAGUUUUGCCACUUUGUGCUGAAUAAAUGAUCUUCCAUCAGGAGGGAGGAGUCAUCCUGGAGGAUAGGAGUCCUUGAAUCUGGUUUCAGACUCAUUUUGGAGAUAAAAGCACUGCCCCAUUUUUUCUGGACUCAGGUCUUUUAUUAAUUUUAAUAUUAUGAUGGGGGUGCAGUAUGAGCUGGAAGUACUGCUAAAUGCCAGCUUGUGUGCCUGAUACACAGUGAAGCCAAACAAACCUAAACAUCAAAGUUUGGAGCAGAGAAAGAGCCAAACAGAGAGAGCAGAGCAUGGUCUCCAGGACGAGCGAGCUUUAGAAGCUGUGGCGCUUGGACUUAGUUGCCCCAGGACAUGUGGGAUCUUCCUGACCAGGGACUGAACCCAUGCCCCCUGCAUUAGCAGGCGGAUUCUCAACCACUAGAACACCAGGGAGGCCUGAUACUUUUAUAAGUAGAGGUUUUUCACAGUAUUAGUGAUUGGCCUUAUUUCUUUUACUUCUUUUUAUUCUUGAUCCUAAAAACUAACACUUUAUAAAAUCAAAAAUUUGUGUUAAUCAUUAAAAAUUAGAAAAAGUACACGAAUCACCACUGAAAUUUUAGCAUGUCUUUGUUUUACUUGUAAAAGUUGUGUUAAGUAGUUUUGUCUGAUGGCAAAAGUUAUGUGUAUGUUGUACAGUAUUCCACCAUAUGGAUGUAUCAUAAUUAUUUCCCCAGUGCUAAACAUUUAGGUGGGUCCCAGUUUAUCACAAAUAAUGUCUUUCAGACUAUUCUUGGAUGUAAAUCCUUCCCUGUUUGCAAAGUAUAGCGUAUUGACUGUAGGGAUUGUAUGUCAAAGAAAAGAAACAUCUAAGAUUCUAGGUAUACAUUGCUGAUUCGAGUUCCAGAAAGCUAAGAUCAACCUACAAUCCCAUCAGGGUUUAUCUGGCUGUCUCACAAAACCCUGCCCUGCAAUGAGUAAAAUUUUUUCUUAAUCUUUCCAAUUACAUAAGUAAAUGGUAUUUAUUGUUAGAAUCUGCAUUUCUUAGAUUACUAGUGAAGCUGCAAAUAUUUUCAGUAUCUAUAAGUAUUUUUAUAAAAUUAUAAUAUACUUUAUUAUAUUUUAAUUAUAUAUAAUAUUUAUAUAUUAUAGAAUUAUAUAUUUUAUAAAUAUCCAUAUCUAUAAAUAUUUUUAAUAGUGUUCACCUUUCAAUUUUCAUUUUGAGACUUUAAGAGCUUUUUAAGAAUUAAGGAUAUUCUUUGUCAUUUGCUGCAAAUGUUUCUUCCAGUUAAUCCUUUUAGUUUUAUUUCUUCUUACAUACUGAUUUGUGAAUUUGUGUGUAAUUUUUUCUAGGCCCUAGGACUUUUCCCCAUUACUUUUGGGAUUAAAAAACCUUCCAGUCAUAUCAAUAACAUUUACCUAUAUUUUCUUCUAGUUUUCUGACUUUAUUUUUUAAUAUUCCUUAAUUUAUUGAACAUCUGAUAAGAGUGGAAAAAUUCAACAUUAAAUUUGAGUAGUUCAUCAGUUUGCAUGACACCUCUUAUUUAAUCAUAUUUUUUUUCUCCACUGAAUUAUCAUACUUUAUUCAGCAUAUAUAAGCUCCCAGACAUUCUAGAGUCACUUUCUGAACUGUGUUCUGUUCCAUUCAUCUUUUUAUGCUUGGACCAGAAAGAAGCAAUUUACAAAUCCACUUUAAUACCUUGUAAGGCAGAUAUUCUCUUAUUUUUCAAAUCGUUUUAGCUUUUUAAAUAUACAUUUACUCAAAUGCUAAAGUUAAGAUUCCAUUUUUUAAUUGCUCUCUUCCUAAUCCUUCUGGAAACUUCAUUAUACCUGUUAAUUAAUCUGGGAACACACUAUGUCUCUCAGUUUUUUCAAGUCUGCUUUUAUGUCUCCUAGUGCAAAUGUUAUAACUCACUUUGCACAUUUUUCUUGCUAAAACAAUUCUCAGGUAUCUUCCAUGUUUGCUAUUGUAAGUGGGAUCCUUUUUUUUUAUUCUAUCUUCUGUUUCUGGAAUAGGAAAGAAUUCAUUUUUGUAUAUUUCUCUUCAAUGCAGCCUAUCUACUGGGCUUGCUUUUUAAUUAUAAGCAGUCAUUACCAAACUUGUCUGCAUGUUAGAAUCACCUAUGGAUCUUUAAAAAUUCUCAAGCCCAGGCCACACCCCAGACCAAGUAAACCCCAUUCAGUGUGGUGGGGCUCUGCUCGAGCUUCCGAGCUUGACAUUCCCCUGUCGAUUUCAGUUUGCAGAUAAAUUUUGGAAUCCACCACUCUAAAUGAUUUUCUGCUGAUUUUCUUCUGUUUUGAAGGGUAUCAUCUGACUGACGAAUAACAGUAGUUGUAUCUUCUCCUUUACAAUCACAUCUCUUU